CAGAUGUCAUUUAUUCGGAAAAUCUUAUUGGAUAACUGCGGUAAUUCUGGAGCUAAUACAUGCGAUUAAACCCUGACUUUCGAAAGGGUGCAAUUAUUAGAGCAAAUCAAUCAUUUUCGGAUGUAGUUUGCUGACUCUGAAUAACGCAGCAUAUCGGCGGCUUGUUCGCCGAUAAUCCGAAAAAGUGUCUGCCCUAUCAACCUGAUGGUAGUCUAUUAGUCUACCAUGGUUAUUACGGGUAACGGAGAAUAAGGGUUCGACUCCGGAGAGGGAGCCUUAGAAACGGCUACCACAUCCRAGGAAGGCAGCAGGCGCGAAACUUAUCCAAUCUUGAAUAGAUGAGAUAGUGACUAAAAAUAAAAAGACCAUUCCUAUGGAACGGKUAUUUCAAUGAGUUGAUCAUAAACCUUUUUUCGAGUACCAAGUGGAGGGCAAGUCUGGUGCCAGCAGCCGCGGUAAUUCCAGCUCCACUAGUGUAAAUCGUCAUUGCUGCGGUUAAAAAGCUCGUAGUUGGAUCUGAGUUGCAUGCAAUGAUUCGCCUUUGGCGUUAAUCAUUGUUGUGACUAUUUGCUGGUUUUCUAUUGAAAUUUCGAUUUCUUUAGUGGCUAGCGAGUUUACUUUGAAUAAAUUAGAGUGCUCAGAACAAGCGUUUGCUUGAAUGGUCGAUCAUGGAAUAAUAAAAGAGGACUUCGGUUCUAUUUAUUGGUUCAGGAACUGAAGUAAUGAUUAAGAGGGACAAUUCGGGGGCAUUCGUAUCCCUGCGCGAGAGGUGAAAUUCGUGGACCGCAGGGGGACGCCCUAAAGCGAAAGCAUUUGCCAAGAAUGUCUUCAUUAAUCAAGAACGAAAGUCAGAGGUUCGAAGGCGAUUAGAUACCGCCCUAGUUCUGACCGUAAACUAUGCCAUCUAGCGAUCCGAUGGGGUAUUGUUGCCUUGUCGAGGAGCUUCCCGGAAACGAAAGUCUUUCGGUUCCUGGGGUAGUAUGGUUGCAAAGCUGAAACUUAAAGAAAUUGACGGAAUGGCACCACCAGGAGUGGAGCCUGCGGCUUAAUUUGACUCAACACGGGAAAACUCACCCGGCCCGGACACCGUAAGGAUUGACAGAUUGAAAGCUCUUUCUCGAUUUGGUGGUUGGUGGUGCAUGGCCGUUCUUAGUUGGUGGAGCGAUUUGUCUGGUUUAUUCCGAUAACGAGCGAGACUCUAGCCUGCUAAAUAGUGACUAGAUUAUUGUGUCUAGUCUACUUCUUAGAGGGAUAAGCGGUGCUUAGCCGCACGAGAUUGAGCGAUAACAGGUCUGUGAUGCCCUUAGAUGUCCGGGGCUGCACGCGCGCUACAAUGGAAGAAUCAGCUGGCCUAUCCAUUGCCGAAAGG
Molecule: ribosomal RNA, 1369 nt
Filed under: Angiostrongylus vasorum (French heartworm)
Lineage: Eukaryota; Metazoa; Nematoda; Chromadorea; Rhabditida; Metastrongylidae
Description: SSU rRNA
Rfam family: Eukaryotic small subunit ribosomal RNA
Source: RNAcentral